RNAcentral lists this ribosomal RNA (348 nucleotides) under uncultured Alishewanella sp. Its description in RNAcentral is "bacterial SSU rRNA". It matches the Rfam family "Bacterial small subunit ribosomal RNA", at positions 1090 to 1438 of the family's 1533-position model. The record is from RNAcentral. Lineage: Bacteria; Pseudomonadati; Pseudomonadota; Gammaproteobacteria; Alteromonadales; Alteromonadaceae.
CAACGAGCGCAACCCCUAUCCUUAGUUGCCAGCGAUUCGGUCGGGAACUCUAGGGAGACUGCCGGUGAUAAACCGGAGGAAGGUGGGGACGACGUCAAGUCAUCAUGGCCCUUACGAGUAGGGCUACACACGUGCUACAAUGGUACGUACAGAGGGAGGCAAGCUGGCGACAGUGAGCGGAUCUCUUAAAGCGUAUCGUAGUCCGGAUCGCAGUCUGCAACUCGACUGCGUGAAGUCGGAAUCGCUAGUAAUCGCAAAUCAGAAUGUUGCGGUGAAUACGUUCCCGGGCCUUGUACACACCGCCCGUCACACCAUGGGAGUGGGUUGCAAAAGAAGUAGGUAGCUUAA